This 400-nucleotide ribosomal RNA is filed under the name uncultured bacterium. RNAcentral describes it as "bacterial SSU rRNA". It matches the Rfam family "Bacterial small subunit ribosomal RNA", at positions 29 to 423 of the family's 1533-position model. The record is from RNAcentral.
AGUGAACGCUGGCGGCAGGCCUAACACAUGCAAGUCGAACGGCAGCACAGGGGUAGCAAUACCCUGGGUGGCGAGUGGCGGACGGGUGAGGAAUACGUCGGAAUCUGCCUAUUUGUGGGGGGAUAACGUAGGGAAACUUACGCUAAUACCGCAUACGACCUACGGGUGAAAGCGGAGGACCUUCGGGCUUCGCGCAGAUAGAUGAGCCGACGUCGGAUUAGCUAGUUGGCGGGGAAAGGCCCACCAAGGCGACGAUCCGUAGCUGGUCUGAGAGGAUGAUCAGCCACACUGGAACUGAGACACGGUCCAGACUCCUACGGGAGGCAGCAGGUGGGGAAUAUUGGACAAUGGGCGCAAGCCUGAUCCAGCCAUGCCGCGUGUGUGAAGAAGGCCUUCGGUU